GCCUUGAUGGUGAAAUGGUAGACACGCGAGACUCAAAAUCUCGUGCUGAAGAACGUGGAGGUUCGAGUCCUCUUCAAGGCA
Molecule: transfer RNA, 81 nt
Filed under: Brachypodium distachyon (stiff brome)
Lineage: Eukaryota; Viridiplantae; Streptophyta; Magnoliopsida; Poales; Poaceae
Rfam family: tRNA
About the family: Transfer RNA (tRNA) molecules are approximately 80 nucleotides in length. Their secondary structure includes four short double-helical elements and three loops (D, anti-codon, and T loops). Further hydrogen bonds mediate the characteristic L-shaped molecular structure. tRNAs have two regions of fundamental functional importance: the anti-codon, which is responsible for specific mRNA codon recognition, and the 3' end, to which the tRNAs corresponding amino acid is attached (by aminoacyl-tRNA synthetases). tRNAs cope with the degeneracy of the genetic code in two manners: having more than one tRNA (with a specific anti-codon) for a particular amino acid; and 'wobble' base-pairing, i.e. permitting non-standard base-pairing at the 3rd anti-codon position.
Source: Rfam by way of RNAcentral